RNAcentral lists this ribosomal RNA (581 nucleotides) under fungal sp. ARIZ L221. Its description in RNAcentral is "eukaryotic LSU rRNA". The stretch from base 204 to 357 matches the Rfam family "5.8S ribosomal RNA". The record is from RNAcentral. Lineage: Eukaryota; Fungi.
UGGAAGUAAAAGUCGUAACAAGGUCUCCGUUGGUGAACCAGCGGAGGGAUCAUUACCGAGUUUACAACUCCCAAACCCCUGUGAACAUACCAAUUGUUGCCUCGGCGGAUCAGCCCGCUCCCGGUAAAACGGGACGGCCCGCCAGAGGACCCCUAAACUCUGUUUCUAUAUGUAACUUCUGAGUAAAACCAUAAAUAAAUCAAAACUUUCAACAACGGAUCUCUUGGUUCUGGCAUCGAUGAAGAACGCAGCAAAAUGCGAUAAGUAAUGUGAAUUGCAGAAUUCAGUGAAUCAUCGAAUCUUUGAACGCACAUUGCGCCCGCCAGUAUUCUGGCGGGCAUGCCUGUUCGAGCGUCAUUUCAACCCUCAAGCCCUCGGGUUUGGUGUUGGGGAUCGGCGAGCCCUUGCGGCAAGCCGGCCCCGAAAUCUAGUGGCGGUCUCGCUGCAGCUUCCAUUGCGUAGUAGUAAAACCCUCGCAACUGGUACGCGGCGCGGCCAAGCCGUUAAACCCCCAACUUCUGAAUGUUGACCUCGGAUCAGGUAGGAAUACCCGCUGAACUUAAGCAUAUCAAUAAGCGGAG